AGUGAACGCUGGCGGUAGGCCUAACACAUGCAAGUCGAACGGCAGCGCAGUAAGAGCUUGCUCUUACGGGUUGCGAGUGGCGGACGGGUGAGGAAUACAUCGGAAUCUACUUUUUCGUGGGGGAUAACGUAGGGAAACUUACGCUAAUACCGCAUACGACCUACGGGGGAAAGCAGGGGAUCUUCGGACCUUGCGCGAUUGAAUGAGCCGAUGUCGGAUUAGCUAGUUGGCGGGGUAAAGGCCCACCAAGGCGACGAUCCGUAGCUGGUCUGAGAGGAUGAUCAGCCACACUGGAACUGAGACACGGUCCAGACUCCUACGGGAGGCAGCAGUGGGGAAUAUUGGACAAUGGGCGCAAGCCUGAUCCAGCCAUACCGCGUGGGUGAAGAAGGCCUUCGGGUUGUAAAGCCCUUUUGUUGGGAAAGAACAGCAGCAGGUUAAUACCCCGCUGUUCUGACGGUACCCAAAGAAUAAGCACCGGCUAACUUCGUG
RNAcentral lists this ribosomal RNA (492 nucleotides) under uncultured bacterium. Its description in RNAcentral is "partial 16S ribosomal RNA". It matches the Rfam family "Bacterial small subunit ribosomal RNA", at positions 29 to 507 of the family's 1533-position model. The record is from RNAcentral.